ACGGCGGUCGCUCCUUUCGGAGAACCGCCUCUCACGCCGGAACCGGAAGAAGGCACCCGGGGGGCACAGCGGCCUCAGUCGCGCUCACCGGCGCCAGCGGUGACGACACCGGAAGAAGAGGAGCGAGAACGACUGGAAGCACGACUCGGCGAGCUCCAGGAGGAGUUCUCCGAGCUUCUGAUAGGACUGCGCAGGCGCAAGUCGGUCGCCGACAACGUGCUUCUGGACGCCGACGUUGAGGAAGACGACGACCUGGAUGGUGAACUACGCCGGCCUCCGAGACGCCGCGCCCUGUCGGUCACGGUGCGGCGGGCCAGCCUGCAAGCGGUGGUGUCCACCACGCGGCCACUGACCACCGGCUCAUCGCCUGUCUUCCGGUCGGCGGACACGAGCCCGGGAGCUCCGGAGACGAGGACGUUUCUAGGGGUCACCAUUAGGGACGACUGACUAAGGCCGCACCGCACGGGCCACCCAGCGACUAACGGCCGCUUUCCGAGGGAGACGUGCGCGAACCUGGAGCACGGAGUGCUGGGACACCUGUUCCUGCGGCAGAUACCUCCGUACCGGCUCGUGCCGAACGUGGCGUCGGCGAUCUCCGAUUUCCUAGCCACACGGCUCCGCCUCGGAACGACUCCAGGUCGCGUCGCCGUUGGUGACCCGCGCAGUGACAGCAGCAAGCAGCAGUCGGAGGAAGGCGUCCUUCUGUCCGCCGAACCUCGCUACGGAUACUUCUACUUUGCCGACGACGUUCUGUGCGUCGUGCCGGUGCACUACGUGUCGCCGCCCAGGGGAGGCUUCUUUCUGCCGAGGAGUCUACGCACCAACAAAGGAAGUGACGCUAUCAUCGACUUAUCGCCCGCCAUGCCAUGGACGGUCCACCGCUAGUCAUCCCCGUUUUCCUACCCGACCAUCCUCGUCUAUUGCCGACAGACUAUUGACCGCAGUGGUUAAGGAAGCGCCUGAAACGGAACUCCAGAGAGAAAAAAAUAUAUAAACUUGACAUUGUGGCAGUUUUUUAUGCUGAAGUCUAUGGAAUAUUUACGCCCUUUAGAGCUUUUCUUAUCCUCAAAUAAUAUUCGUCACCUAUAUUGCCUGCAUUUCUAAAUUUGCAUAACUCUGCGCGCCCGGAACAUUCAGGUCAUGAACAGCAUGCCCGUAUCAGCGUGACACAGCGUUCCCGACAGGAAUGUAGCUAGCGCCGACAUUUAAAGACAGAAAAUGCAUGCAACAGGACGUGUAAUGUGUUAGGACAAGAUGAGCCUCAAGAACGUGUAUGAAUACUUGGAGCGUAUGGAUGGAAAGUAGGUGUACUUCUACGUACCUGCUUGCUGGCCAGAGUUACGACACCCUAUAAUAUGACAACUAUAGACGGGAUACUGACACGACUACCGUGGCUAUGUGCAAUCGCAAGUGUAACUUACGAACUUACGUAAGAGAAGUUUUGUCAAAACGGGCGCUGAAGUUUUUGUGCUGUCAAUGCGAAGUAUGCGCGUCGCUGUAAUACGACACAGGAAAGCAGGCAGCUUAGCUGAAAAUGUUAGAUUGUCUAUGGCGAAGUAAUAGUGAUUGUUGCAAUAUUACGCGAGGAAUCAGGCAGUAUCCCUGAAGGUUGCGCGAAGUGCUAUCUCAUAUUUUGUAAUUUGAAAUUCUACGCACCAGCGUUGUGAACCUCGAUGUAAUAUGUAACCGCUUGUGGUCAACCGCAGCUGUCGCCAGUAGAUGCCAGGACAAGAAGGACAGACUAUUGACCGCAGUGGUUAAGGAAGCGCCUGAAACGGAACUCCAGAGAGAAAAAAAUAUAUAAACUUGACAUUGUGGCAGUUUUUUAUGCUGAAGUCUAUGGAAUAUUUGCGCCCUUUAGAGCUUUUCUUAUCCUCAAAUAAUAUUCGUCACCUAUAUUGCCUGUAUUUCUAAAUUUGCAUAACUCUGCGCGCCCGGAACAUUCAGGUCAUGAACAGCAUGCCCGUAUCAGCGUGACACAGCGUUCCUGACAGGAAUGUAGCUAGCGCCGACAUUUAAAGACAAAAAAUGCAUGCAACAGGACGUGUAAUGUGUUAGGACAAGAUGAGCCUCAAGAACGUGUAUGAAUACUUGGAGCGUAUGGAUGGAAAGUAGGUGUACUUCUACGUACCUGCUUGCUGGCCAGAGUUACGACACCCUAUAAUAUGACAACUAUAGACGGGAUACUGACACGACUACCGUGGCCAUGUGCAAUCGCAAGUGGAACUUACGAACUUACGUAAGAGAACUUUUGUCAAAACGGGCGCUGAAGUUUUUGUGCUGUCAAUGCGAAGUAUGCGCGUCGCUGUAAUACGACACAGGAAAGCAGGCAGCUUAGCUGAAAAUGUUAGAUUGUCUAUGGCGAAGUAAUAGUGAUUGUUGCAAUAUUACGCGAGGAAUCAGGCAGUAUCCCUGAAGGUUGCGCGAAGUGCUAUCUCAUGUUUUGUAAUUUGAAAUUCUACGCACCAGCGUUGUGAACCUCGAUGUAAUAUGUAACCGCUUGUGGUCAACCGCAGCUGUCGCCAGUAGAUGCCAGGACAAGAAGGACAACAUUUGCUAUUGACGGCAAUCCGACAGUGUCCGCGUACGUUAGAAACCAUUCAGGCUCGUUGUAGAGCAAUCGCGUCUGAUGCAGCAGUUUCCGCUCCACAUGACCAGAAUUUUACCGAACACAAACGACAGUGGAAUCCAAACAAGUUGUGGCAGCACUGUUGUUGAACAGAGAUGCGUCAAAGCCUCCUGUACUACCACUGCGUAGCCAUGAACAAGCUUUACUUAGCUUUAUCACAUCUUCUUAUUGUCUGCAGCUGACGUGAUCGUCCUAUCGUAACCCGCAGGCUUCACUAGCACCUCACCAAAACUGCUACCACUGCCCCGACUGUAUUUUUAAGCGCCAGUUCAUCACGCGAUGUCACCAACUCGAGGGUAUAGCCGUCCGAAGAGGUCACACCGAAAAAGCAACCGCCAGUAUCCAAUUUUCACUCGCGUCGGGUUGCAGUGCCGUACCACUCACCUUCCUUUAUUUCCCGAUUACGUCACGUAACACGAGUUUCGGUAAUGCCUUUGACGCCGUCAAAAUCAAUGUUCGCUCAUAUGAGACCUUAAUUACAGCGGGAGAAGACGCGCGCCAAACUCCGACAUUGGGCAGUAUCACGAAUGGGUAGUUUGACAGCCAGCGCCUUAGAAAACUAGGUUUCACGCGUGUACUUUGCUGUUGCCGUACCAACCACUCCACUAUGCUUCCUCUCUUAAGUAAAACCAGGAUCAUCGCGAGGAGUUCACGCAUAAAAAUAUUCAACAGAGUAGUCGCUACGAUUUAACAGAAGGUAAAUAGCGGUAACUUUGUCAGAAAUUUAUGUCUCAUUUUAAAGGGGCAGUUAUUAGCAACCCCGAAUCACAAGCUCAUUUUUUUUUUUCAUUUGGAGGAAACAGGUUGAUGUGAAUAAAAUCUAUCUUUGAAUUUCGUGCUAAUAGACAGCACCAAACGUCACAGUUUUCCUCUCCGG
Long non-coding RNA from Dermacentor silvarum, 3506 nucleotides. RefSeq lists it as uncharacterized. The transcript has 3 exons. The record is from RefSeq and is a predicted model, not a curated record. NCBI's taxonomy places the organism in Eukaryota, Metazoa, Arthropoda, Arachnida, Ixodida, Ixodidae.